RNAcentral lists this non-coding RNA (168 nucleotides) under Leuconostoc gelidum. RNAcentral describes it as "Lysine sequence". It matches the Rfam family "Lysine riboswitch aptamer". Rfam says of the family: Riboswitches are metabolite binding domains within certain messenger RNAs that serve as precision sensors for their corresponding targets. Allosteric rearrangement of mRNA structure is mediated by ligand binding, and this results in modulation of gene expression. The record is from RNAcentral. Lineage: Bacteria; Bacillati; Bacillota; Bacilli; Lactobacillales; Lactobacillaceae.
GAAAAUCAUAGAGGUUGCUGUAACCAUGAGUCACUCGCGGAGUAUUGAUAGAUACUGUGAAACGAGUAAAAGGGGUUGUGGCCGAAGCACUGAUACUGUCAUGUCAGCAAGCUGGGGCAUUAGUUAAUAGCUAAUGAACUGUCGCAAUUGCGGGGUGCUAUGACAGAA